GGCGGUGUAGCUUAGCUGGCUAGAGCGUACGGUUCAUACCCGUGAGGUCGUAAGUUCGAAUCUUACCACCGCUACCA
RNAcentral lists this transfer RNA (77 nucleotides) under Acholeplasmataceae bacterium. RNAcentral describes it as "tRNA-Met". It matches the Rfam family "tRNA". From Rfam's summary of the family: Transfer RNA (tRNA) molecules are approximately 80 nucleotides in length. Their secondary structure includes four short double-helical elements and three loops (D, anti-codon, and T loops). The record is from RNAcentral. Lineage: Bacteria; Bacillati; Mycoplasmatota; Mollicutes; Acholeplasmatales; Acholeplasmataceae.